UGGGGAAUAUUGCACAAUGGGCGAAAGCCUGAUGCAGCAACGCCGCGUGAGGGAAGAAGGUCUUCGGAUUGUAAACCUCUAUCGAUGGGGACGAAUAAAUGACGGUACCCAAGUAAGAAGCACCGGCCAACUACGUGCCAGCAGCCGCGGUAAUACGUAGGGUGCAAGCGUUAUCCGGAAUUACUGGGUGUAAAGGGUGAGUAGGCGGCUUGUAAAGUCAUGUGUGAAAUACCUGGGCUUAACCCAGGAACUGCACAAGAAACUUACAGGCUAGAGUACAGGAGAGGUUGGCGGAAUUCCUAGUGUAGCGGUGAAAUGCGUAGAUAUUAGGAAGAACACCAGUGGCGAAGGCGGCCAACUGGACUGUAACUGACGCUGAAUCACGAAAGCGUGGGGAGCGAACA
RNAcentral lists this ribosomal RNA (404 nucleotides) under uncultured Eubacteriales bacterium. Its description in RNAcentral is "uncultured Clostridiales bacterium partial 16S ribosomal RNA". It matches the Rfam family "Bacterial small subunit ribosomal RNA", at positions 355 to 774 of the family's 1533-position model. The record is from RNAcentral. Lineage: Bacteria; Bacillati; Bacillota; Clostridia; Eubacteriales.